RNAcentral lists this long non-coding RNA (3773 nucleotides) under Sorghum bicolor (sorghum). RNAcentral's name for it is "long non-coding RNA (SBIC_LNC018445)". The record is from RNAcentral. Lineage: Eukaryota; Viridiplantae; Streptophyta; Magnoliopsida; Poales; Poaceae.
GGAGUUCCAUUGGGUGCGUCCAAAUUGAUUUCUAAGCAUAUGGUAUGUUCCUUGCAAAUCAUGCACCUAUCUUGCAUCAAGAUUAGCACUAUCUCCAAAACAGAUCAAACCGAGCUUCCACUUGAGCCUCUUCACCAAAGUACCAACAGGUGCUUCCAAAAUGGUUUCUUAGACUAUGGUGCAUUAGUCACAAACCAUGCACAUAUUUUGCACUGAAACUAACACUGUUUCUAAAUAGAUCAAACCGAGAUUCCAUAUGACACACGUCAUCAAGGAGUCCCAUCAGGUGCAUCCAAAUUGUUUUCCAAGCAUUUGGUAUGUUCCAUGCAAACCGUGCACCUAUCUUGCAUCAAGACUAACACUAUCUCCAAACACACCAAAACGAGCUUCCACUUGAGCCUCUUCAUCUAGGAGUAGAAACAGGUGCGUCAAAAAUGGUUUCUUAGACUAUGGUGCAUUAGGCACAAACUAUGCACCUAUCUUGCACCGAAACUAACAUUGUCUCCAAAUAGACUGAAGCGAGAUUCCAUAUGACACACAUCAUCUGGGAGUUCCAUUGAGUGCGUCCAAAUUGAUUUAUUAACAUAUGGUACGUUCCAUGCAAACUGUGCAACUAUCUUACAUAAAGAUUAACACUAUAUCCGAGCACACCAAAUCGAGCCUCCACUUGAGCCUCUUCAACUACGAGUACCAUCGGGUGCGUCUAAAAUGGUUUCUUAGCCUAUGGUGCAUUAGGCGUAAACCGUGCACAUAUCUUCUACCAAAAUUAAAACUUUCUCUAAACGAACCAAAGCAAGAUUCCAUAUGACACACAUUAUCAAGGACUUAUAUCAGGUAGGUCCUAAUUGAUUUCUGAGCAUAUGUAUGUUCCAUGCAAACCGUGCAUCUAUCUUGCAUCAAGAUUAGCACUAUCUCCAAACAGACCAAACCGAGCUUUCACUUGAGCCCCUUGACCUAGGAGUACCAUCGGGUGCGUCCAAAAUGGUUUCUUAACCUAUGGUGCAUUAGGUGCAAACCAUGCACGUAUCUUGCACUGAAACUAACACUAUCUCUAAAUGGAUCGAAGUGAGAUUCCAUAUGACACAUGUCAUCUAGGAGUUCCAUCUUGUGCGUCCAAAUUGAUUUCUGAGCAUAGGGUAUGUUCAAUGCAAAUCGUGCACCUAUCUUGCGUCAAGAUUAGCACUAUCUCUAAACAGACCGAACCGAGCCUCCACUUGAGCCUCUUCACCUAGGAGUACCAACAAGUGCUUCCAAAAUGGUUUUUUAGACUUCGGUGCAUUAGGCGCAAACUGUGCACAUAUUUUGCACCGAAACUAAUACUGUUUCUAAGCACACCAAAGCGAUUCCAUAUGACACACGUCAUCAAGGAGUUCUAUCGGGUGUGUCCAAAUUAAUUUCUAAGCAUAUGGUACGUUCCAUGCAGACCGUGCAUCUAUCUUGCAUCAAGAUUAGCACUAUCUCCAAAUAGACCAAACCAAGCUUUCACUUGAGCCUUUUACCUAGGAGUACCAUCGGGUGCGUCCAAAAUGGUUUCUUAGCCUAUGCUGUAUUAUAUGCAAACCUUGCACCUAUCUUGCACCGAAACUAACACUGUCUCCAAAUAGACCGAAGCAAGAUUUCGUGUGACACACGUCAUCUAGGAGUUCCAUCAUGUGCAUCCAAAUUGAUUUCCAAGCAUUUGGUAUGUUCCAUGCAAACUGUGCUCCUAUCUUGCAUCAAGAUUAGCACUAUCUCCAAACAGACCGAAUCGAGUAUCCACUUGAGACCCUUCACCUAGAAGUACCAACAAGUGUGUCCAAAAUAGUUUCAUAGACUAUGGUGCAUUAGGUGCAAACUAUGCACCUAUUUGCACCGAAACUAACAAUGUCUCCAAAUGGACCGAAGCGAGAUUCCAUAUGACACACAUCCUCAAGGAGUUCUAUCGGGUGCAUCCAAAUUGAUUUCCAAGCAUAUGGUAUGUUCCAUGCAAACCAUGCAGCUACCUUGCAUAAGGAUUAGCACUAUCUCCAAACUGACCGAACCAAGCUUCCACUUGAGCCUCUUCACCCAGGAGUACCAAAUAGUGCGUCCAAAAUGGUUUCUUAGACUAUGGUGCAUUAGGUGCAAACUGUGCACCUAUCUUUCACCGAAACUAACAAUGUCUCCAAAUGGACCGAAGCAAGAUUCCAUAUGACACAUGUCAUCAAAGAGUUCCAUCGGGUGCAUCCAAAUUGAUUUAUGAGCAUAUGACAUGUUCCAUGUAAAUCGUGCGCCUAUCUUGCAUAAGGAUUAGCACUAUCUCCAAAUUGACCGAACCAAGCUUCCACUUGAGCCUCUUCACCUAGGAGUACCAAAUAGUGCGUCCAAAAUGGUUUCUUAGACUAUGGUGCAUUAGGUGCAAACUGUGCACCUAUUUUGCACUAAAACUUACAAUGUCUAUAAACGGACCGAAGCAAGAUUCCAUAUGACACACGUCAUCUAGGAGUUCCACUGGGUGCGUCCAAAUUGAUUUAUAAGCAUAUGGUAUGUUCCUUGCAAAUCAUGCACCUAUCUUGCAUCAAGAUUAGCACUAUCUCCAAAACAGAUCAAACCGAGCUUCCACUUGAGCCUCUUCACCAAAGAACCAACAGGUGCUUCCAAAAUGGUUUCUUAGACUAUGGUGCAUUAGUCACAAACCAUGCACAUAUUUUGCACCGAAACUAACACUGUUUCUAAAUAGACCAAAGCGAGAUUCCAUAUGACACACGUCAUCAAGGAGUCCCAUCAGGUGCAUCCAAAUUGAUUUCCAAGCAUUUGGUAUGUUCCAUGCAAACCGUGCACCUAUCUUGCAUCAAGACUAACACUAUCUCCAAACACACCGAAACGAGCUUCCACUUGAGCCUCUUCAUCUAGGAGUAGAAACAAGUGCGUCAAAAAUGGUUUCUUAGACUAUGGUGCAUUAGGCACAAACUAUGCACCUAUCUUGCAACGAAACUAACAUUGUCUCCAAAUAGACUGAAGCGAGAUUCCAUAUGACACACAUCAUCUGGGAGUUCCAUUGGGUGCGUCCAAAUUGAUUUAUUAACAUAUGGUACGUUCCAUGCAAACUGUGCAACUAUCUUACAUAAAGAUUAACACUAUAUCCGAGCACACCAAAUCGAGCCUCCACUUGAGCCUCUUCAACUACGAGUACCAUCGGGUGCGUCUAAAAUGGUUUCUUAGCCUAUGGUGCAUUAGGCGUAAACCGUGCACAUAUCUUCUACCAAAAUUAAAACUUUCUCUAAACGAACCAAAGCAAGAUUCCAUAUGACACACAUUAUCAAGGACUUAUAUCAGGUAGGUCCUAAUUGAUUUCUGAGCAUAUCGUAUGUUCCAUGCAAACCGUGCAUCUAUCUUGCAUCAAGAUUAGCACUAUCUCCAAACAGACCAAACCGGGCUUUCACUUGAGCCCCUUGACCUAGGAGUACCAUCGGGUGCGUCCAAAAUAGUUUCUUAACUGGAACGCCUGAGGGAAAAUAGAUAAAGAAAAAAAGGUAAAAAAUAAAUAAAAAAUAAAAAAUACUGUAGCCGGCGCUACAGUACCCGCGGUGUACAGUACCACGCCCGACCCUUCUCCUACCCUGAGUCGGUGUUUUCCCUGUUCCUCCCAACCUGGUCACGAACCGCCGCCAUCCUACCUACAAAAUUCACGAAUGAGAGAAAGGAGAAGAGGGAAGAGGAGGAGAGGGCCUAGGGUUUUGCCACCGCCGUCGCCGCCACCGCCGUCGUCGGUCAUCCGUGGUGGUCGUUCUUCCUCCCGUGCAAAUUAUGGUUAG